GCCCUGACUGCCCCCUGGGCACCGGCGCGGGGCGGCCGUCCGGAGCGGGACUCACUGCACGCCCCAGCUCCGCACCUGCCAGCGCCGGCGCUUCCAAGGCCCCCAAAACGCGGGCGGCGCGCACCCCGGCCGCAUCCCGCCUGCCCGCCCGCCCAGGUCCCGGGAGACGCUCGGCCCGGCCGCCCGGGCCCGCCGCCGCCGCCAUCUUACCGUGCGGAACCUGCCUCCAACGCUGCGCGGUCUGGGCGGCCGCGAUUCCGCAGCCUCUCCUGGGCCGGGGAGGGGUGGCGGCGGCUGGGGCGCCCGAGUAGAAGGAGGCGGAGGCGGGGGCCGCGGCGGAGGCGGAGGCGGGGGCGGGGGCGGGGGCGGGGAGCAGGAGGGCAGGCGCACCGGCGGCCGCCCCUCAGCACCUCUCGCGACAGCACGAGAGCGCGAGAGCGCGAGCCGAUGACCAAUGAAGCGCCCCCGCGAGGAGGCGGGGCGGACGGCCUCCCGGAAGCGCGGGACCUAGUUUCCGUCCUUGCGCAGAACUCCCCUCGCGGAGUCGUCGCGCUACGGGUUGGCGCGAGAGUCAAAAGGCGUCGGCCGCCUCUGGCAAGAUGGCUGCUGCGGAGGCGUUGGAGUGCGGAAACCUGGAGCCGGGAUGGCGACGUCUACACUGAGUCGGAGGCGAAGAGAUGGUGUCUACAUGCUGACAUGUUGCCUGGGCUGGUCUUGAACUCCUGGGCUCAAGCAGUCCUCCCAAGCAGCUGGGAUCACAGAUGCGAAAUAUUGUGCCCAGUUGUGACUGUCUCUUUAAAAGGAGGGGAGUUGGAAUGUUUGUCCCUUGUUCUGAGGUUGCCAGGGAGACCACAGAGGGAAGGCAGUUGGUCUUGAGGCUGAGGAAGAGGUGAGAGCGGGGGCUUGGCUUGGGAGUGUGGGCUUUGGGGCAGGGAGCUAGCUAGAAACCAGGCACCUGGAACCUUUGAGUGUUUUGAUAUGACUAUUUGAAAGAGGAUACAGGAGAAGUGUUUUUUAAAUACACGUGGUGAACUGUAUCGUGCUGAUUUUAGUAAGUCAAACAUUAGUCUUCUAAAAUUUUUCUUGAGUUUUUAAUUAAAAUAAUACAGCUACGAUAUUAAGAAUUUUCAAUAAUUACAUUCGUAUAUAAUUUCGUUAUUCAGUCUUUUCACUUUUUGUUCUUGUUCUUCUGUUUUGUGGUGGAUUUUAUUGAGUGGGGUCCAUCUCGGACAUAGGCUCCAAAUGGAAAAGAAGCUGAUGCUUGGCAACUCAUCUCUGGCCCUGGUCUGGCUGUGCCUCUGCCUGUCUCUCUGGGGCAAGCCUAGGACUCCACCCCUUUCUCUCGGGGGUUGGUAGCAUCUGCUGUCCUGGGUAGAAGUCCUUAAGGACACUGCUCGCAUGCUUGUUUUCAACCCCCUAGCUGUCUUUGUGGGUCACACAGUAUAACUCAAAUAAUAGGUUACUCGAGAAUUCAGUGCUCCCUUUUAAUUGUUGUUGGUACGUAAUUUACUUAAGAUAUGUAAAAU
Molecule: long non-coding RNA, 1526 nt
Filed under: Papio anubis (olive baboon)
Lineage: Eukaryota; Metazoa; Chordata; Mammalia; Primates; Cercopithecidae
Description: lncRNA (ENSPANG00000037883.1)
Source: RNAcentral